This 224-nucleotide ribosomal RNA is filed under the name uncultured bacterium. RNAcentral describes it as "partial 16S ribosomal RNA". It matches the Rfam family "Bacterial small subunit ribosomal RNA", at positions 110 to 334 of the family's 1533-position model. The record is from RNAcentral.
CGUACGCGUAUGCAAUCUACCUUAAUCAGGGGGAUAGCCCGGAGAAAUCCGGAUUAAUACCGCAUAACGUUAUUUUAUGGCAUCAUAGAAUAACCAAACAUUUAUGGGAUUAAGAUGAGCAUGCGUGACAUUAGUUAGUUGGUGAGGUAACGGCUCACCAAGACUACGAUGUCUAGGGGAUCUGAGAGGAUGACCCCCCACACUGGUACUGAGACACGGACCAG